RNAcentral lists this ribosomal RNA (253 nucleotides) under uncultured bacterium. Its description in RNAcentral is "partial 16S ribosomal RNA". It matches the Rfam family "Bacterial small subunit ribosomal RNA", at positions 524 to 776 of the family's 1533-position model. The record is from RNAcentral.
UACGGAGGAUGCAAGCGUUAUCCGGAUUCAUUGGGUUUAAAGGGUGCAUAGGCGGAUUAAUAAGUCAGUGGUGAAAGCCUGCGGCUUAACCGUAGAAAUGCCAUUGAUACUGUUAUUCUUGAGUAUAGUUGAGGUGGGCGGAAUGUGUAAUGUAGCGGUGAAAUGCUUAGAUAUUACACAGAACACCAAUUGCGAAGGCAGCUCACUAAGCUGUUACUGACGCUGAGGCACGAAAGCGUGGGGAGCAAACAGG